CAGCCGCCGCGGGAAUACAGAGGGUGCGAGCGUUAAUCGGAUUUACUGGGCGUAAAGCGUGCGUAGGCGGCUUCUUAAGUCGGAUGUGAAAUCCCUGAGCUUAACUUAGGAAUUGCAUUCGAUACUGGGAAGCUAGAGUAUGGGAGAGGAUGGUAGAAUUCCAGGUGUAGCGGUGAAAUGCGUAGAGAUCUGGAGGAAUACCGAUGGCGAAGGCAGCCAUCUGGCCUAAUACUGACGCUGAGGUACAAAAGCAUGGGGAGCAAACAGGAUUAGAUACCCCGGUAGUCCCUGUCUCUUAUAC
Molecule: ribosomal RNA, 301 nt
Filed under: uncultured bacterium
Lineage: Bacteria
Description: partial 16S ribosomal RNA
Rfam family: Bacterial small subunit ribosomal RNA
Source: RNAcentral